CGAACGCUGGCGGCGUGCCUAAUACAUGCAAGUCGAACGAAGCUUUCUUUCACCGAAUGCUUGCAUUCACCGAAAGAAGCUUAGUGGCGAACGGGUGAGUAACACGUAGGCAACCUGCCCAAAAGAGGGGGAUAACACUUGGAAACAGGUGCUAAUACCGCAUAACCAUGAACACCGCAUGAUGUUCAUGUAAAAGACGGCUUUUGCUGUCACUUUUGGAUGGGCCUGCGGCGUAUUAACUUGUUGGUGGGGUAACGGCCUACCAAGGUGAUGAUACGUAGCCGAACUGAGAGGUUGAUCGGCCACAUUGGGACUGAGACACGGCCCAAACUCCUACGGGAGGCAGCAGUAGGGAAUCUUCCACAAUGGACGAAAGUCUGAUGGAGCAACGCCGCGUGAAUGAAGAAGGCCUUCGGGUCGUAAAAUUCUGUUGUCAGAGAAGAACGUGCGUGAGAGUAACUGUUCACGUAUUGACGGUAUCUGACCAGAAAGCCACGGCUAACUACGUGCCAGCAGCCGCGGUAAUACGUAGGUGGCGAGCGUUGUCCGGAUUUAUUGGGCGUAAAGGGAACGCAGGCGGUCUUUUAAGUCUGAUGUGAAAGCCUUCGGCUUAACCGAAGUAGUGCAUUGGAAACUGGAAGACUUGAGUGCAGAAGAGGAGAGUGGAACUCCAUGUGUAGCGGUGAAAUGCGUAGAUAUAUGGAAGAACACCAGUGGCGAAAGCGGCUCUCUGGUCUGUAACUGACGCUGAGGUUCGAAAGCGUGGGUAGCAAACAGGAUUAGAUACCCUGGUAGUCCACGCCGUAAACGAUGAGUGCUAAGUGUUGGAGGGUUUCCGCCCUUCAGUGCUGCAGCUAACGCAUUAAGCACUCCGCCUGGGGAGUACGGUCGCAAGACUGAAACUCAAAGGAAUUGACGG
This 919-nucleotide ribosomal RNA is filed under the name uncultured bacterium. RNAcentral describes it as "bacterial SSU rRNA". It matches the Rfam family "Bacterial small subunit ribosomal RNA", at positions 30 to 916 of the family's 1533-position model. The record is from RNAcentral.